UACGUAGGGGGCUAGCGUUGUCCGGAAUCAUUGGGCGUAAAGCGCGUGUAGGCGGUCCGAUAAGUCCGCUGUGAAAGUCGGGGGCUCAACCCUCGGAUGCCGGUGGAUACUGUCGGGCUUGAGUACGGAAGAGGCGAGUGGAAUUCCUGGUGUAGCGGUGAAAUGCGUAGAUAUCGAGAGGAACACCUGCGGCGAAGGCGGGUUGCUGGGCUGACACUGACGCUGAGGCGCGAAAGCUAGGGGAGCGAACGGG
This 253-nucleotide ribosomal RNA is filed under the name uncultured bacterium. Its description in RNAcentral is "partial 16S ribosomal RNA". It matches the Rfam family "Bacterial small subunit ribosomal RNA", at positions 524 to 776 of the family's 1533-position model. The record is from RNAcentral.